This 1770-nucleotide ribosomal RNA is filed under the name Escherichia coli. RNAcentral's name for it is "partial 23S ribosomal RNA". It matches the Rfam family "Bacterial large subunit ribosomal RNA", at positions 1 to 1797 of the family's 2925-position model. The record is from RNAcentral. Lineage: Bacteria; Pseudomonadati; Pseudomonadota; Gammaproteobacteria; Enterobacterales; Enterobacteriaceae.
GGUUAAGCGACUAAGCGUACACGGUGGAUGCCUUGGCAGUCAGAGGCGAUGAAGGACGUGCUAAUCUGCGAUAAGCGUCGGUAAGGUGAUAUGAACCGUUAUAACCGGCGAUUUCCGAAUGGGGAAACCCAGUGUGUUUCGACACACUAUCAUUAACUGAAUCCAUAGGUUAAUGAGGCGAACCGGGGGAACUGAAACAUCUAAGUACCCCGAGGAAAAGAAAUCAACCGAGAUUCCCCCAGUAGCGGCGAGCGAACGGGGAGCAGCCCAGAGCCUGAAUCAGUGUGUGUGUUAGUGGAAGCGUCUGGAAAGGCGCGCGAUACAGGGUGACAGCCCCGUACACAAAAAUGCACAUGCUGUGAGCUCGAUGAGUAGGGCGGGACACGUGGUAUCCUGUCUGAAUAUGGGGGGACCAUCCUCCAAGGCUAAAUACUCCUGACUGACCGAUAGUGAACCAGUACCGUGAGGGAAAGGCGAAAAGAACCCCGGCGAGGGGAGUGAAAAAGAACCUGAAACCGUGUACGUACAAGCAGUGGGAGCACGCUUAGGCGUGUGACUGCGUACCUUUUGUAUAAUGGGUCAGCGACUUAUAUUCUGUAGCAAGGUUAACCGAAUAGGGGAGCCGAAGGGAAACCGAGUCUUAACUGGGCGUUAAGUUGCAGGGUAUAGACCCGAAACCCGGUGAUCUAGCCAUGGGCAGGUUGAAGGUUGGGUAACACUAACUGGAGGACCGAACCGACUAAUGUUGAAAAAUUAGCGGAUGACUUGUGGCUGGGGGUGAAAGGCCAAUCAAACCGGGAGAUAGCUGGUUCUCCCCGAAAGCUAUUUAGGUAGCGCCUCGUGAAUUCAUCUCCGGGGGUAGAGCACUGUUUCGGCAAGGGGGUCAUCCCGACUUACCAACCCGAUGCAAACUGCGAAUACCGGAGAAUGUUAUCACGGGAGACACACGGCGGGUGCUAACGUCCGUCGUGAAGAGGGAAACAACCCAGACCGCCAGCUAAGGUCCCAAAGUCAUGGUUAAGUGGGAAACGAUGUGGGAAGGCCCAGACAGCCAGGAUGUUGGCUUAGAAGCAGCCAUCAUUUAAAGAAAGCGUAAUAGCUCACUGGUCGAGUCGGCCUGCGCGGAAGAUGUAACGGGGCUAAACCAUGCACCGAAGCUGCGGCAGCGACACUAUGUGUUGUUGGGUAGGGGAGCGUUCUGUAAGCCUGUGAAGGUGUACUGUGAGGUAUGCUGGAGGUAUCAGAAGUGCGAAUGCUGACAUAAGUAACGAUAAAGCGGGUGAAAAGCCCGCUCGCCGGAAGACCAAGGGUUCCUGUCCAACGUUAAUCGGGGCAGGGUGAGUCGACCCCUAAGGCGAGGCCGAAAGGCGUAGUCGAUGGGAAACAGGUUAAUAUUCCUGUACUUGGUGUUACUGCGAAGGGGGGACGGAGAAGGCUAUGUUGGCCGGGCGACGGUUGUCCCGGUUUAAGCGUGUAGGCUGGUUUUCCAGGCAAAUCCGGAAAAUCAAGGCUGAGGCGUGAUGACGAGGCACUACGGUGCUGAAGCAACAAAUGCCCUGCUUCCAGGAAAAGCCUCUAAGCAUCAGGUAACAUCAAAUCGUACCCCAAACCGACACAGGUGGUCAGGUAGAGAAUACCAAGGCGCUUGAGAGAACUCGGGUGAAGGAACUAGGCAAAAUGGUGCCGUAACUUCGGGAGAAGGCACGCUGAUAUGUAGGUGAAGUCCCUCGCGGAUGGAGCUGAAAUCAGUCGAAGAUACCAGCUGGCUGC